CGGACGGGUGAGUAAUGUCUGGGAAACUGCCCGAUGGAGGGGAUAACUACUGAAACGGUAGCUAAUACCGCAUAACGUCGCAAGACCAAAGAGGGGGACCUUCGGGCCUCUUGCCAUCGGAUGUGCCCAGAUGGGAUUAGCUAGUAGGUGGGGUAACGGCUCACCUAGGCGACGAUCCCUAGCUGGUCUGAGAGGAUGACCAGCCACACUGGAACUGAGACACGGUCCAG
Molecule: ribosomal RNA, 230 nt
Filed under: uncultured bacterium
Lineage: Bacteria
Description: partial 16S ribosomal RNA
Rfam family: Bacterial small subunit ribosomal RNA
Source: RNAcentral